RNAcentral lists this ribosomal RNA (393 nucleotides) under uncultured bacterium. RNAcentral's name for it is "partial 16S ribosomal RNA". It matches the Rfam family "Bacterial small subunit ribosomal RNA", at positions 523 to 918 of the family's 1533-position model. The record is from RNAcentral.
AUACGGAGGAUCCGAGCGUUAUCCGGAUUUAUUGGGUUUAAAGGGUGCGCAGGCGGGAGAUUAAGUCGGCGGUGAAAUUUUGCAGCUCAACUGUAAAAGUGCCUUCGAAACUGGUUUCCUUGAGUGUAGAUGAAGUAGGCGGAAUUUGUGGUGUAGCGGUGAAAUGCACAGAUAUCACGAGGAACUCCGAUUGCGCAGGCAGCUUACUAAACUACUACUGACGCUCAGGCACGAAGGCGUGGGGAUCAAACAGGAUUAGAUACCCUGGUAGUCCACGCAGUAAACGAUGAUUACUAGCUGUUUGCGAUACAAUGUAAGCGGCUGAGCGAAAGCGUUAAGUAAUCCACCUGGGGAGUACGUUCGCAAGAAAGAAACUCAAAGGAAUUGACGGGG